GACGAACGCUGGCGGCGUGCUUAACACAUGCAAGUCGAACGGAAAGGCCCUGCUUUUGUGGGGUGCUCGAGUGGCGAACGGGUGAGUAACACGUGAGUAACCUGCCCUUGACUUUGGGAUAACUUCAGGAAACUGGGGCUAAUACCGGAUAGGAGCUCCUGCUGCAUGGUGGGGGUUGGAAAGUUUCGGCGGUUGGGGAUGGACUCGCGGCUUAUCAGCUUGUUGGUGGGGUAGUGGCUUACCAAGGCUUUGACGGGUAGCCGGCCUGAGAGGGUGACCGGCGACAUUGGGACUGAGAUACGGCCCAGACUCAUACGGGAGGCAGCAGUGGGGAAUAUUGCACGAUGGGCGGAAGCCGGAUGCAGCAACGCCGCGUGCGGGAUGACGGCCUGCGGGUUGUAAACCGCUUUCGCCUGUGACGAAGCGUGAGUGACGGUAAUGGGUAAAGAAGCACCGGCUAACUACGUG
This 468-nucleotide ribosomal RNA is filed under the name uncultured bacterium. RNAcentral describes it as "partial 16S ribosomal RNA". It matches the Rfam family "Bacterial small subunit ribosomal RNA", at positions 28 to 507 of the family's 1533-position model. The record is from RNAcentral.